Zonotrichia albicollis (white-throated sparrow) is the source of this 1683-nucleotide long non-coding RNA. The record is from Ensembl. Lineage: Eukaryota; Metazoa; Chordata; Aves; Passeriformes; Passerellidae.
CUGGGAGCUCUAGGAUAUCCCAGCACAAUCUACCCUUGUUUUUCUGUGGUGGAAAAGACUCAUAAAACACAAAAAACCCCAAAUAAAGUAAAGCAUAAUUAGUGAUUUUCUCCUGCUCACACAUCCUUUAGGCCAGUUUGGUUUUCUCCAUUUUUAAUGAGCAUGGGAAGAGAUUGUUUGGGAGCUGUAGGAUAUCCCACCACAAUCUAUCCUUGUUUUUCUGUAGUGGAAAAGGCUCAUAAAACAUAAAACACAAAAAAACCCAAAUAAAGUAGAGCAUAAUUAGUGAUUUUUACCUGCUCAGACAUCCUGUGGGCCAAUUUGGUUUUCUCCAUUGUUAAUGAGCAUGGGAAGAGAUUGUUUGGGAGCUCUAGGAUAUCCCACCAAAAACUGUCCUUCUUUUUCCAUAAUGGAAAACGUUCAUAAAACACAAAAAAACCCAAAUAAAAUGGAGCAUAAUUAUUGAUUUUCACCUGCCCAUCUUUUGGGCCACUUUGGUUUUCUGCAUUGUAAUGAGCAUGGGAAGAGAUUGUUUGGGAGAUGUAGGAUAUCCCAGCACAAUCUAUCCUUGUUUUUUCUGUGGUGGAAAAGGCUCAUAAAACACAAAACAUAAAACACAAAAACCUCAAAUAAAUCAGAGCAUAAUUAGUAAUUUUCACCUGCUCACACAUCCUUUGGGCCAGUUUGGUUUUCUCCAUUUUUAAUGAGCAUAGGAAGAGAUUGUUUAGGAGCUGUAGGAUAUCCCAGCACAAUCUACCCUUGUUUUUUCAUAGUGGAAAAGGCUCAUAAAACACAAAACACAAAAAACCCCAAAUAAAUCAAAGCAUAAUUAGUAAUUUUUACCUGCUCACACACCCUUUGGGCAAGUUUGGUUUUCUCCAUUGUAAUGAGCAUGGGAAGAGAUUGUUUGGGAGCUGUAGGAUAUCCCACCAAAAACUGUAUUUGUUUUUAAAUAGUGGAAAAGGCUCAUAAAACACAAAAACCCCCAAAUAAAAUAGAGCAUUGCACCAACACCCCACCUCAUACCAUUAUUUUACCUAAAGAAAAAAAACCCAAAAUAAAAUCCAAACCAACAGUUUGUUUUUUUGUUUUUGCUGACAGCUCAUCUGUGGGUGAAGAACUGCAAGGAGCUUUUCCCGUCCUCCUACAAGAAGGGCCGGCUGGAUCAGCCCCUGCAGGCCUCGCUGUGGCUCAAGAACUUCAAAACCUCCAACGAGCGUUUUCUGGACGAGAUAAAAACGCAAAAAAAAUACAUUUGGGGCAAAAGAGAAAGCACAGAGGAGGGCAGGCCUUUGAGGGAAGUGGUGGAGCAGGUAAGGAGCAAACUCUGCUGCUGGCGUGGCCUCACCUUGGGGCACGAGAUCCUGGGUUUGUGGGAGAUUUCACCUAAAAAUCCUAAAAAUCUGAGUCCUGGGAAAUAGCUGGUGUCUCCCCAUGCACAAAAGAUGAUGUGGUGGAUCUGGAAAGAAAAUUGUACAGAGAAUUUGGAUAGAUGGCAAAGCUAGAGUUUGAAAUUUCCAUGUUUUGAUGCUCAGGCUGCUCUUGGGAGAGGCUGUUGAAUUUCAGUUUGUCUUCUCUUGGAGGAGCUGCCCAAAAAUCACCCCCGAGAAGAAAUCCUCUCCCUCUGAAUUAUUGUAAUUAUUUACAGCAGAUAACUGCCCCACAUGGUUUUAGCAGUGUUAA